Molecule: ribosomal RNA, 253 nt
Filed under: uncultured bacterium
Lineage: Bacteria
Description: partial 16S ribosomal RNA
Rfam family: Bacterial small subunit ribosomal RNA
Source: RNAcentral
UACAGAGGUCCCAAGCGUUGUUCGGAUUUACUGGGCGUAAAGGGUGCGUAGGUUGCUGGGUAAGUCUGACGUGAAAUCUUCGAGCCUAACUCGAAAACUGCGUUGGAAACUACUCGGCUAGAGGAAUGGAGGGGAGACUGGAAUACUUGGUGUAGCAGUGAAAUGCGUAGAUAUCAAGUGGAACACCAGUGGCGAAGGCGAGUCUCUGGACAUUUCCUGACGCUGAAGCACGAAAGCCAGGGGAGCAAACGGG